CAGUCCUCUCUCAUGAGGAGGCACCCCACUGCCUCCUUGCAGGAGCCUCGGGGGUAAGGAAUCAAGAUCUACUCAGUGUGACAAAUAAACCCGACUCUCAGCAAUGCAGGAAGAAACCAGCCAGUGACCUGGAGUAAAGACCCUCAUAUACCACAUGGACCAGGCAACCUCAUGCAUGAACCAAGGAAGGAAAUGCCAGAGGAGCCGGUAAAGUAUUUCCUUGGUGGUCAGGACUAAGAAAAGAAAAGCAGCGGGGCGGUGAAGCAUUCCUUGGUUAGGACAUACCAAGGAAAGAGGAGCCACAGGGGCAGUAAGGCAUUCCUUAGUUGGGAGUAAGGGAAGAAAAGCCACUGGGAGUGAUGAAGUAUUCCUUAGUCGGGAUGUCUUAGAGGUUACAAAAAGGUGAAAAAUUCCCAUUAGGGGGAGACUGAACCUCACACACUCCUCUGGCAGUAGGAAAAAUAGUCAGAACUUCCCUUUCCCCUCUUCUCAGCGGAAGAAAGAAGCUAAGCUCCACUCCUACUGGCCGCUCCCUAGGGGCAGGAGAAGGAGAGGGGAGAACAGCAGUGUAGGUGGCUGGCAGAGGCAGGGAAAGACCAGCAGAGAGGAAAGAGAAACUGAGAAAAGUCAGAGAGAAAGAGAGAGCAGCAAGCACAGCUCCACAUUGUUGCAGAUCGCUGGCACCCAGCAGAGUGGCGGCUGGAACGCUCUCCUCGAACGUGGCCAUGCAGCCAGAGCCACUCAGGCCACCGGCCGCCAAGCUCCAAACCUUCCAUGCCACUCGGGCGUGUCUUGCCACCCUCGGAGGACGGCAGGCCAUGGACACCUGAAGAAGAGUGUGAGCGCUCUGUCAUGCCCGGACAGGGCCACUAGAGGGCUCCUUGGUCUAGCGGUAACGCCGGUGCCUGGGAAGGCACCCAUUACUUAGCCUACGGGGAGAGGGAGUCUCCCUUCUCCCCGCCCCAGGGAGUUAGAGAAGAGUCUGCGCCACUGCCUCUUGUGGAAGGCCUGACAUCAGUCAGGCCCGCCGGCAACCAUCCGGAGACCUAACCAUCUCCCUGUGAUGCUGUGCUUCAGCGGUCAUGCUCCUGGUCUGCUUUCAUGUUCCGCCCUGCACACCUGGCUCCGCCUUCUAGAUAGCAGUAGCAGAAUUAGUGAAAGCACUAAAGUCUUUGAAAUGCAGGGAAGAAAUAAUGACGUAAGCUGUUCUCUCUCUCCACCACGGCUACCAUACAGGGAAGGGCCCCCUGUCCGGUGUGCACAUGACUCGCGUGACCUUACCUAUCACUGGAGAUGGCUCACACUCCUUACCCUGUCCCCUUGCCUUGUAUCCAAUAAAUAACAGGGCAGUCAGGCAUUCGGGGCCACUACUCGUCUCCGCGACUUGGUGGUCGUGGUCCCCCGGGGUCCAGCUGUCUUUUCUUCUAUCUUUGUCUUGUGUCUUUAUUUACAAGAUCUCUUGUCUCCGCACAUGAAAAGAAAAACCCACAGGCCCUGUAGGACCCUAUAGCAGGAUCUUCCACGUUCCCUUUUCUCAGAACUAAAAGUCUUUUAGCACAGGCACCACCCCUAGAGUGUCCAGCACACCAACAUCAGCCUGGAGACCACGUCCUCAUCAAAUGAUAGAAAAAAGGAAAACUUGAGACAGCCUAGGAAGGCCCCUACCUCAUGCUGCUACCCACCGAGACUGCCGUUUGCACAGCAGAAAAAGGAUGGACACGUCACACCCAAGUCAAAAAAGCAUCAUCAUGUUCAAAAUCAUGGGCCAUUGUUCCAGGUGAAGCCCUACCAUAUUAAAGCUAAGAAAAACUUAA
Non-coding RNA from Macaca mulatta (Rhesus monkey), 1814 nucleotides. NCBI's taxonomy places the organism in Eukaryota, Metazoa, Chordata, Mammalia, Primates, Cercopithecidae. The record is from RefSeq and is a predicted model, not a curated record.